UUCCGGUUGAUCCUGCCGGACCUGACUGCUAUCGGAUUGAUACUAAGCCAUGCGAGUCUUUGUAGUAAUACAAGGCAUACGGCUCAGUAACACGUAGUCAACCUACCCUAUGGACGAGAAUAAUCUCGGGAAACUGAGCAUAAUUCUUGAUAGAUCAUAAUGCCUGGAAUGGUUUAUGGUUAAAAUGAUUCGUCGCCAUAGGAUGGGACUGCGGCCUAUCAGCUUGUUGGUGAGGUAAUGGCCCACCAAGGCGAUUACAGGUACGGGCUCUGAGAGGAGAAGCCCGGAGAUGGGUACUGAGACACGGACCCAGGCCCUAUGGGGCGCAGCAGGCGAGAAAACUUUGCAAUGUGCGAAAGCACGACAAGGUUAAUCCGAGUGAUUUCUGCUAAAGAAAUCUUUUGCCAGUCGUAAAACCGCUGGUGAAUAAGGGGUGGGCAAGUUCUGGUGUCAGCCGCCGCGGUAAAACCAGCACCUCAAGUGGUCAGGAUGAUUAUUGGGCCUAAAGCAUCCGUAGCCGGCUUUGUAAGUUUUCGGUUAAAUCCAUGUGCUCAACGCAUGGGCUGCCGAAAAUACUGCAUAGCUAGGGAGUGGAAGAGGUAGACGGUACUCAGUAGGUAGGGGUAAAAUCCUUUGAUCUAUUGAUGACCACCUGUGGCGAAGGCGGUCUACCAGAACACGUUCGACGGUGAGGGAUGAAAGCUGGGGGAGCAAACCGGAUUAGAUACCCGGGUAGUCCCAGCUGUAAACGAUGCAGACUCGAUGAUGCAUUGGCAUAAUAGCCAUUGCAGUGUCGCAGGGAAGCCGUUAAGUCUGCCGCCUGGGAAGUACGUACGCAAGUAUGAAACUUAAAGGAAUUGGCGGGGGAGCACCACAAGGGGUGAAGCCUGCGGUUCAAUUGGAGUCAACGCCGGG
This 915-nucleotide ribosomal RNA is filed under the name uncultured marine archaeon. RNAcentral describes it as "bacterial SSU rRNA". It matches the Rfam family "Archaeal small subunit ribosomal RNA", at positions 1 to 922 of the family's 1478-position model. The record is from RNAcentral.